Molecule: ribosomal RNA, 535 nt
Filed under: Mesembrinella peregrina
Lineage: Eukaryota; Metazoa; Arthropoda; Insecta; Diptera; Calliphoridae
Description: partial small subunit ribosomal RNA
Rfam family: Bacterial large subunit ribosomal RNA
Source: RNAcentral
AAUCUGCCCACUGAAUUUUAAAUGGCCGCAGUAUAUUAACUGUGCAAAGGUAGCAUAAUAAUUAGUCUUUUAAUUGAAGGCUGGUAUGAAUGAUUGGACGAAAUAUUAACUGUUUCAUAAUAAUUUAAAUUAAAAUUUUAUUUUUUAGUAAAAAAGCUAAAAUUUAAUUAAAAGACGAGAAGACCCUUUAAAUCUUUAUAUUUAAAUUAUUAGAAUUUUUAGGAUUCUUUUUAUUGUAAUAAUUAAUAGUAUUUUAUUGGGGUGAUAUUAAAAUUUAAAUAACUUUUAAUUUAUAAAUUCAUUUAUUUAUGAGUUAUUGAUCCUUUAUUAUGGAUUAAAAAUUUAAGUUACUUAAGGGAUAACAGCGUAAUUUUUUUGGAGAGUUCUUAUCGAUAAAAAAGAUUGCGACCUCGAUGUUGGAUUAAAAUAUAAUUUUAGGUGUAGUUGCUUAAAUUUUAAGUCUGUUCGACUUUUAAAUUUUUACAUGAUCUGAGUUUAAACCGGUGUAAGCCAGGUUGGUUUCUAUCUUUAAUAA